RNAcentral lists this ribosomal RNA (505 nucleotides) under uncultured bacterium. Its description in RNAcentral is "bacterial SSU rRNA". It matches the Rfam family "Bacterial small subunit ribosomal RNA", at positions 15 to 518 of the family's 1533-position model. The record is from RNAcentral.
GAUCAUGGCUCAGGAUGAACGCUGGCGGCGUGCCUAAUACAUGCAAGUGAAACGGGUAUCUUCGGAUACCAGUCGCGGACGGGUGAGUAAUACAUAGGCAACCUGCCUUUAUGAGGGGGAUAACCGAGGGAAACUUUGGCUAAUACCGCAUGAAGACUCUAAGGCAUCUUAGAGGGAUAAAAGUUGGGAAACAACGCAUGAAGAUGGGCUUAUGGCGCAUUAGCUAGUUGGUGAGAUAGAAGCCCACCAAGGUAAUGAUGCGUAGCCGACCUGAGAGGGUGAACGGCCACAUUGGGACUGAGACACGGCCCAAACUCCUACGGGAGGCAGCAGUAGGGAAUUUUCGGCAAUGGGGGGAACCCUGACCGAGCAACGCCGCGUGAAAGGAAGAAGGUUUUCGGAUUGUAAACUUCUGUUAUAAGGGAAGAACGGAUUGGAUAGGGAAUGAUCUGAUAGUGACGGUACCUUAUUAGAAAGCCACGGCUAACUACGUGCCAGCAGCGGC